AGUGAACGCUGGCGGUAGGCCUAACACAUGCAAGUCGAACGGCAGCACAGUAAGAGCUUGCUCUUACGGGUGGCGAGUGGCGGACGGGUGAUGAAUACAUCGGAAUCUACUUUUUCGUGGGGGAUAACGUAGGGAAACUUACGCUAAUACCGCAUACGACCUACGGGUGAAAGCAGGGGAUCUUCGGACCUUGCGCGAUUGAAUGAGCCGAUGUCGGAUUAUCUAGUUGGCGGGGUAAAGGCCCACCAAGGCGACGAUCCGUAGCUGGUCUGAGAGGAUGAUCAGCCACACUGGAACUGAGACACGGUCCAGACUCCUACGGGAGGCAGCAGUGGGGAAUAUUGGACAAUGGGCGCAAGCCUGAUCCAGCCAUACCGCGUGGGUGAAGAAGGCCUUCGGGUUGUAAAGCCCUUUUGUUGGGAAAGAAAAGCAGCAGGUUAAUACCCCGCUGUUCUGACGGUACCCAAAGAAUAAGCACCGGCUAACUUCGUG
RNAcentral lists this ribosomal RNA (492 nucleotides) under uncultured bacterium. RNAcentral's name for it is "partial 16S ribosomal RNA". It matches the Rfam family "Bacterial small subunit ribosomal RNA", at positions 29 to 507 of the family's 1533-position model. The record is from RNAcentral.